UCUUGAAAAGCUUCAGUUAAAUUAGGGCCAUUAUAUUUUCUGCAUACAAACUGUUUGACGAAAUGUCUGAACGAGAAAUAGAAUCUUAGUUUCCCUUAAUAUUAGAAAAUACAGAAUGCAAGACAAAAUUCCAAUAUUUCGAUUCUUGCCGAAGAUAUUAUUGUGGAUAUUUUCUUAAGAUUACCUCUUAAAACUCUCUUGCCAUUAAAGUGCGCGUGUACAUGCUUCAUUUCUGUGCAUUUCAAGACAUUUAAAUCAGACCCUAAUGACCAUUAUAUCCUUAUACGAAAUCCGAGCUUCCUGAUAAAGCUUACUGAACCCUAUAGGUCUGAUUAUUCUGUUGUAGGCUCAAUUAAUGGCUUGGUUUGUCUUAGCUCUAGUUCUCGUAAAUUAAUUUGCCUAUGGAACCCUUCAAUACAUCAAUUUAAGUUGCUCCUUAUGCACAAUAUUAAGGUUCAAAGGACGCGUAAAUGUUAUGUGAGUGUGGGUUUUGGGUAUGAAAAGAAUUCUGAUGAUUACAACGUCAUGAGUAUUACAAACUAUUAUAAAGGUUGGCAAGGGACUAUAGUUGAGGUUUUCUCGACCAAAUUGGAAUCUUGGAUAGAAGUUAAGACUGAUGUUCACUUAAAUGUGACUACCUGUAGUUGUGAUGCAAUUGUUGAAGGGUUUACUUAUUGGGUUAUAAGAAAGACGAAUGAACCUGAUAAAACUGUUCUUGCCUCAUUCGAUUUGAGGAGCGAGAUGUCCAGCAUAAUUCCAGUACCGGAAGUGUUGGUUGCUGAAUCUCACAGUUUUAGGGCCGUGAACUAUCAAGGGUCACUUGUAUUGCUUGCAUACUCUUCACACGAUGAAUUCAAGAAAUGUCUUGAGGUUUGGGUGAUCGAAGGUGGUAGCUGUGGAGAGGGUGUAUGGCAAAAGAAUUUCACCUUUGGCACGGGUUUCGAUUUUUCUGCGCAUUGGGGUCUUACCAGUGGAGAUAUAGUAGUUGAAAAUUCUCCAAACAUAUCGUUCUUGUUCAACCUGAGAACAAAACAAUGUAGGAUGGGAACACGUUCAUUAUGUUUUCAACUAUACUGAGAGCCUUGUAUCGGCUAAGGGCUUCAAGCCUUUGCCCCCAUCAACAUAUUUUUUUGGUAACAAACUGAUGUAUUACCAAGGAAAAGUUUUUACAAUUUGAGCUGAACCCUCUAGAGUUGGACAGUAAGCCCCAACUUCUAGUACACUUGAACAACCAAAAAAAAAGUCUAGAACAGCAAACUACAUUCUACUACUUACACUAUGGAUAAUAACUAAGUUCUUGCAACAUCUUGUCUAAUCUAGGCUGCUUCCCUCCUUUGCAAUGCACAUUUUGUAUAAUCAACUUUAUAAUCAUAUUCUCAGUCUUCUUCUUGCUUUGGAAUACUCUCGUGUUCCUCUCUUUCCACAAAUAGUAGAUGCAACCAGAGCAAGUCAUUCUGCAAAUUUUUGCUCUUGCACUACUCCCAUUAGCAUGUUUUCUUGCCCAAACUUGCUCCUAUUCCCAUGCCAGCACUGGUCUGUUGAUAUGCUUCCAUUGUAAUAGUUUGUGCCACACUUUACCUACAAAUGGACAAUUGAAGAAUAGGUGUUGCAUAGUUUCUGGGCUUGAUUCACAAAGUGGGCAUGUUGAGCUACAGUUAACAGGCCACUUGAUCAGUCUAUCCUUUCUUGCCAAUCUUCCAUGAAGAGCCAGGGUCCCAUCAUCGAGUUUCUCAGAUAUUACGCUGGAACUGGACAAUAAGCAAGCUUCACGAUAUCUGUAUGUGUUCAUAGCCUCUGAAUUUCCCAUUUUCCAGAUGCUUCUCCAAAGCUCAAUGUUAACACUUACUGCCUAAACGACCAACACUCGUGGCACCUGCCUAUGGCGUGCAGCGUUACAGGCCCUAAGGAUUUGGUGACACAUCCCCACUUAAACUGGUCACAAUAUCCUCACGUACCGACCAUGUCUUUGUUGGCCUCAUUUCGGUUAGAAUGCUCUUAUCGCUUUGGUAGUUUCUACUGUAGAUCCUCUGGUAAAAGCAUGGAGCACCUAUUCAGGUGCGACAUCAAACCAACCAUAUUCUAACUUGUUUACUUCAAGGCAUUCUGUCACCCGGUACCUAUACUCAAGCGGAUAUUCAUCUUGAAGAAAUGUCUCUGCUUAGGCAUAUACUCAACUCAGUUCUCAUGUGGGAACUUUGCUUGGUGAACGCUCAUUCCAAGCACUAUCGCAAUUUUCAAUCUUAUGUUUGAACUUUGAUUUAGGAACCUGUCCUAAGGUUCUUUAAUUUUUCUACUAUAAAUCUUUAUUUUUCGCCUGUAUACACCAAUGCUAUAUGGAUGGGGCAAGAAUGUUGUCGCAUAGUCAGCAAUAUACAUCUGAACAAGAAAAACAAUACGAUGAAAAUUUAUAUGUCGACGUGAGGCAUAUUAAAUAUUAACUGAUUCUGGCUUAAAGACAAUAUACCAAUUGUUGGUCCGGGAAUACCAAUCUAUCCGGCCACCAUAUUUCUGUAGUUGUUUUCUGGUAACCUUGUAGAUUGCUGCUGCAUUCAUGAUUCAUCCCUACUCUUUCAAAUCUUUUACUACCCUGGUCCUGUCAACCAAAAUUACUUACAAGGGUAGUGGGGAAGCCAACUUGAAAAUUCUAAUCUUUUUUAAUUUUCAUUCUUUAUGGUAAGAUAUGCAAAGCUUACUAGCUAUGUUCUCCGGUAUGAGCUGUGUAAACACAAAGAUGAAGGUGUCUUAUUCUAAAAAAAAAAAAAUGAUGAAUGGUGUCCUGCUUUUGUAGUGGCAGAGAUGUUCACACAUCGGUGCAUAUGUAAGAUUCUCAGUAUUGAACUCAUUGUACUGAAACUACGAAUUUAGAUAUAAUAUUUGUUGUGAUUAUAUAUAUUUCGUGUCAAAAAUUAUAAUUUCAGAUGAACCCCUAGACAAAAGGCUACAUCCGCCCCUGGCUGCAGGUGUCAGUGUGCUCUUCUUGAUCAAAUUUGGUUAAUAGUUUUUCAUCUUGAUUUUUAACAUCACUAUGUGUUUCUUCUGUUAUAAUUUAAAUAAUCAAAGUGAUAUUUAUUUUGUGGACCAAGAUGAGUAUGCUAUUGGACAACAUGAGUGAAGGUUCAUGAUAUGCCAAAGAUGGACAUUCAGGUCACACAUCAAAGGAAAAUAAGAAAAAGAAUGUGUUAUAUGUGUCACGACCCGAUUGGGGGCCGCGACGGGUACCCGGAGCUAGUUACCGAGCAUCGCUCACUCUACUACUUAUCGUACUCAUUUAAUACUCUUUUAUCAAUUUUACAUACCAAUUGUAGGAAAAUCAUACUUUAUCAAAACAUAAAUACUUUAUAUACAUUUGCCUCCCGGCCAUCAAAAUAAUAUACAUACAUAUGAAAACAUCUUGUAAGACCAUCCAACCCACACUGCGUAUCUACGAGCCCCUACUAACAUAAUGAAUAACGGAACAAGACUCCGUCAUGCCCAAAAUAUGCAUAUAUGAAUGUACAUCAAAAUAAUAACCAUAAGCACCUCCGAACCAUGGAGUGCUAUCUAUCAGCUGACAGCUACUGAGGACCUGGGCCAAGCUCUCCUCCCUGUCUACCUGUGGGCAUGAACACAGCGUCCGAAGAAAGGACGUCAGUACGAAUGUUGUACUGAGUAUGAGAAGCAUAACCAAUGAAAGAAGACAUAAAUAACAUAGUGAUAACAUCAACAAGAAGCAUCUGAAUUUGACUGAUAAUCAUAAAAGAAGUAAUGCAUGCUAUCUUACACAUACUCAUCAUUAUAACAUAUAUGCAUCAUAUGCAAGCUGCCCGUCCAUGUCGGAACGGUGUGAUAAUCAAUAAUAUUAGCCCGCGUCCAGGCCUCCCGCGUCCGGGGUACCAUCUCAUGCCGCCCACUAGUGGUGUCUGCCCAUGCCCGUAGGUCGUGGUGUAUCCGUAUCGCCGCCCGCCGAAGCGGUGUCUGCCCGGCCAACUAGGCCCGGUGUGAUUGCAAUCAUGACAUGCUUAAAUGUAAAUACCCGUAGUAAUAUGCUUAUCAUAAGAUACUUAUCUUAUCAUAAUGCGUAUAUAAGACUCAUGAUCAACUUUACUCUAUCGGGGUGACGUAAGGUCGUGAUCCCCCGAUUUCAUUAUGGAACCCUUAUGGACAUUCUGCCUCACCUUGAAAGGACUAGCACAUAAGGUGAGUGUAGGCAAGGAAUAACAUCAUCAUCAUCAUUCUAGUGUCAUCAUAUCGUAUAACUUAUCUCGUAUAGACAUUCAUAGGCAUAAGCUUUUAACUUCUUAGAAUGUAAGAACUCAUGAAAGGAAUAGGGAUUCAAGCUAAAAGAUUCAUGCCAUUAGAAAGAAGGGCUAGCCUCACAUACCUUGGUUGCUUAGCUAGGCUAUCGCUCACUUUCUCUUCUUCAAUAUCACGUCGUUACCUUCAUGAGAGAAUUCGGAUCAACAUUAGCAAUCUAACUACAAGAACGCAUCGCUAAUUAUAGGAAAAGUCGGACAACGCUUCCUUCGCUCGUACUAAUUUUCUCAUGUUCUAUAUCAGCUCCCAAUAUUCAUAAUAUUAUUCGCAAUACCACAAUUGACAAUCGUCGUUUACGUACAUUUGGCAAAAUCCACCAUUUUCCUCCAAUUUUCCCUUAUUUCUACUUCUAGCUCAUCCUUGAGUUUUCAUGCAUUUAAUGCUUGUUUCAUGAUAUAAACAUCAUUUAUAACGCAUUUUUACUCACAACACUUCAAUAUUCAUAGUUCAAUUCCACUAUCAUUCAUUUAUGUCACUAUUCACUCAAUAAUGACCCAUUUCUAUGUUCUUCUACAUUUCAAGUGUCUAAGCUUUCCAAUACUUCAAACAACAUGGAAUAAUCAUGAAACUUACCUUGGAUGAUGGUUGAACAAUCCUUAAGUUGAAAUACUUCAAUUAGCCAAAACCCUAGUUCCACCUCCUUUAGAAUUUCUUCACUUAGAUGAUCCUUUGUUGUGUUCUUACACUUGAUUCCAUGAAAUUUGUGUUGUUGGUCUUGAUAUUCCCUUUAAUUCUCUUGAAUUCUUGUGGGGGAAUUAUUUGAAAUGUUCUAGAGGUUUCUUGAGUUGUUGGGUGAAUAAUGAAAUAAUAUGAGCUUAAGUCCCUUUUAAGAAUCACAAAAUCUGAUACUUAAUGAAUUCUUGUCGAGAUGAACAGUGAUCGUAAACCACUAUUUACGGACCGUAUUUUGAUUUACGGUCCUUCCACUGUGGUCGUAUUUAACCAUUUCAAAAACAGAAAGUUUUGGCUGAGGGACAUGGCAGUUUACGACCUGGUUUACGGUCCGUAAACCAGUUUACGGGCCGUAAACUGGGUCGUAUUUAACCAUAUUCAACACUGGGCAGAACUUGAUAUUUUUGAUUAAUGAAAGACGAUUGCACUAUACGGUCCGUAAAUCACUUUACGGGCCGUAUAGUGCCAUAUACGACCACUGGGCUGAAAAUUUUUCGCGACUUUCUUAUUUUCAAAAAUUCAUAAUUAGCCAUUCCCGACUUAGUAAAACAUCAAACACUCAAGCCCUUCAUCGUUCUACUCAUCACACAAGUACGGAAAAAUUUCCGAGGUGUAACAAUAUGACUCCAUGGAAUCUAACGCCUUGACUGGGGCAAACUUUCAGAAGAAUUUUAAGUCAAGUCCCCAUGCCUCUGCAAAUUUACAACCCCUCAUCUACGCCACUGGUUUGGCCCCAAUAGCUCUCUUUCCUUGAUAAUAAGGUACUCAUUGCUUAGCAACCUUUUAUCCCUAUUUAUAGUGAAUACUUUAUUCCUUAUUUAAUCUACACAAAUUCUAAUACUACUAUACCAAUCAAUUGUACACAUGGAGAGAGCAUAUUCUUUCAUUCUUUCUGCAGUAGUCUUGCAACUCUACUUCUUAGAGACAUGCAUUAGCAAAAACAUAACCACAGAUCAAUCAGCUCUUCUUGCCUUCAAAGGCAGCUUUACUCUAAACUCUUCUCAUCCCUUAACCCGAAAUUGGUCUUCUCAAGCUUCAGCUUGCCAUUGGAUUGGAGUCACUUGCGGCUCUCGCCACCGUAGGGUGAGAGCACUAAAUAUUUCGGACAUGGGCAUUCUUGGAACCAUUCCACCACACUUGGGAAACCUCUCAUUUCUUGUUUCUCUCUAUGUGAGCAGAAAUCAUCUACAUGGUAAUGCUGCCUUCUCUUCCUGGCAUUAGCAAAUUUGGGUGACCCCAAUUGAGAUGAUAACCAACACUUGGUCCGAGAUUAGAACGUUCUUGUUUCUCUUGUGCUUUUCUCUUGUCCAUAUUUUGAGUGUGGUGUGUGUGUGUGUCAAAUAAUUUUAACAUAUAAGAUAUGUACUAAAGUUGGCAUGGAGAAUGCCUUGUAUAAUAUUGAUGAACAUUAUUAUGUAGAUAUCAGCUUCAAAAAUCAAUGGAGAGUAGUAGUGUAAAAUGCUCAACUACCA
Long non-coding RNA from Lycium barbarum (goji berry), 6437 nucleotides. RefSeq lists it as uncharacterized. Lineage: Eukaryota; Viridiplantae; Streptophyta; Magnoliopsida; Solanales; Solanaceae. The transcript is spliced from 3 exons. The record is from RefSeq and is a predicted model, not a curated record.